RNAcentral lists this ribosomal RNA (553 nucleotides) under uncultured archaeon. Its description in RNAcentral is "bacterial SSU rRNA". It matches the Rfam family "Archaeal small subunit ribosomal RNA", at positions 326 to 879 of the family's 1478-position model. The record is from RNAcentral.
CGGGGUGCAGCAGGCGCGAAAACUUUACAAUGCCGGCAACGGCGAUAAGGGAACCUCGAGUGCCAGGUUACAAAUCUGGCUGUCGUGAUGCCUAAAAAGCAUUGCAUAGCAAGGGCCGGGCAAGACCGGUGCCAGCCGCCGCGGUAACACCGGCGGCUCGAGUGGUAACCGUUAUUAUUGGGUCUAAAGGGUCUGUAGCCAGCCGGGUAAGUCUCUUGGGAAAUCUGGCAGCUUAACUGUCAGGCUUUCAGGAGAUACUGCCUGGCUCGAGGCCGGGAGAGGUGAGAGGUACUUCAGGGGUAGGGGUGAAAUCUUGUAAUCCUUGAAGGACCACCAGUGGCGAAGGCGUCUCACCAGAACGGACCUGACGGCAAGGGACGAAAGCUAGGGGCACGAACCGGAUUAGAUACCCGGGUAGUCCUAGCCGUAAACGAUACUCGCUAGGUGUCGGCCACGGUGCGACCGUGGUCGGUGCCGUAGGGAAGCCGUGAAGCGAGCCACCUGGGAAGUACGGCCGCAAGGCUGAAACUUAAAGGAAUUGGCGGGGGAGCAC